RNAcentral lists this ribosomal RNA (252 nucleotides) under Dermocybe semisanguinea. Its description in RNAcentral is "partial 28S ribosomal RNA". Lineage: Eukaryota; Fungi; Basidiomycota; Agaricomycetes; Agaricales; Cortinariaceae. The record is from RNAcentral.
GUGACCUCAAAUCAGGUAGGACUACCCCUUUCCCUCAUUUAUGCGAGUGAAUUGUCAAUAGCUCGAUUUAAAUCUGACAGUCUUCCCUGUGCGAGCUGUAAUCUAAAGAAGUGUUAGACAGCGAUGGACCGAGGACUACUCCCCUGAAUGGAGCGAAUGGAGAGUGAGAAUCUUUAUUUCAGACGGACUACGGGUGCUUUGUGAUGCGUCUUCAAAAGGCGAGUUGCUUGGGAAUCCAGCUCAAACUGCUUG